UGGGGAAUCUUGGACAAUGGGGGAAACCCUGAUCCAGCCAUGCCGCGUGGGUGAUGAAGGCCUUAGGGUUGUAAAGCCCUUUCGGCGGGGACGAUGAUGACGGUACCCGCAGAAGAAGCCCCGGCUAACUCCGUGCCAGCAGCCGCGGUAAUACGGAGGGGGCAAGCGUUGUUCGGAAUUACUGGGCGUAAAGGGCGCGUAGGCGGCCGGUUGCGUCGGAUGUGAAAGCCCUGGGCUCAACCCGGGAAUGGCAUUCGAUACGGGCUGGCUUGAAGUCGGAAGAGGAGAGUGGAAUUCCCAGUGUAGAGGUGAAAUUCGUAGAUAUUGGGAAGAACACCGAUGGCGAAGGCAGCUCUCUGGUCCGACCUUGACGCUGAGGCGCGACAGCGUGGGGAGCAAACAGG
This 404-nucleotide ribosomal RNA is filed under the name uncultured bacterium. RNAcentral describes it as "bacterial SSU rRNA". It matches the Rfam family "Bacterial small subunit ribosomal RNA", at positions 355 to 776 of the family's 1533-position model. The record is from RNAcentral.